AUUGAACGCUGGCGGCAUGCCUAACACAUGCAAGUCGAACGGAAACGAUGCUAGCUUGCUAGCAGGCGUCGAGUGGCGGACGGGUGAGUAAUGUAUAGGGAUCUGCCUAGUAGUGGGGGACAACAUGUGGAAACGCAUGCUAAUACCGCAUACGCUCUACGGAGGAAAGUGGGGGACCUUUCGGGGCCUCAUGCUACUAGAUGAACCUAUAUUGGAUUAGCUUGUUGGUAAGGUAAUGGCUUACCAAGGCGACGAUCCAUAGCUGGUUUGAGAGAAUGAUCAGCCACACUGGGACUGAGACACGGCCCAGACUCCUACGGGAGGCAGCAGUGGGGAAUAUUGCACAAUGGACGAAAGUCUGAUGCAGCAAUGCCGCGUGUGUGAAGAAGGCCUUAGGGUUGUAAAGCACUUUCAGACGUGAGGAAAAGUAAUAAUUUAAUAAAUUAUUACCUUGACGUUAACGUCAGAAGAAGGACCGGCUAACUCCGUGCCAGCAGCCGCGGUAAUACGGAGGGUCCAAGCGUUAAUCGGAAUUACUGGGCGUAAAGCGCGCGUAGGCGGAUAUUUAAGUCAGAUGUGAAAUCCCUGGGCUCAACCUAGGAACUGCAUUUGAUACUGGAUAUCUAGAGUAUGGUAGAGGUGAGUGGAAUUUCAGGUGUAGCGGUGAAAUGCGUAGAGAUCUGAAGGAACAUCAGUGGCGAAAGCGACUCACUGGGCCAUUACUGACGCUGAGGUGCGAAAGCGUGGGUAGCAAACAGGAUUAGAUACCCUGGUAGUCCACGCCCUAAACGAUGUCAACUAGGUGUAUGGGAGUUUAACUCCUGUGUAUCGAAGCUAACGCGAUAAG
Molecule: ribosomal RNA, 847 nt
Filed under: uncultured bacterium
Lineage: Bacteria
Description: bacterial SSU rRNA
Rfam family: Bacterial small subunit ribosomal RNA
Source: RNAcentral